Molecule: small RNA, 28 nt
Filed under: Bombyx mori (domestic silkworm)
Lineage: Eukaryota; Metazoa; Arthropoda; Insecta; Lepidoptera; Bombycidae
Description: ovarian small RNA-29803
Source: RNAcentral
UCUCGUGUCGUGCCCCUUUAUCGAAGUG